Hermanssonia centrifuga is the source of this 104-nucleotide non-coding RNA. The record is from the annotation of a GenBank genome assembly. NCBI's taxonomy places the organism in Eukaryota, Fungi, Basidiomycota, Agaricomycetes, Polyporales, Meruliaceae.
GGCUCAGUGGUCUAGUAGUAUGAUUCCUGCUUCGGGUUGCCCCGUCAGCGAUUUGAUUGAUUUAAGAGUGCAGGAGGCCCCGGGUUCAAUUCCCGGCUGAGCCC